CAAUCGGCCCCUUUUGGGGCCACCAAUUUUCGUAACGUAGGAACA
Non-coding RNA from Dufourea novaeangliae, 45 nucleotides. The record is from Rfam. NCBI's taxonomy places the organism in Eukaryota, Metazoa, Arthropoda, Insecta, Hymenoptera, Halictidae.